Paramuricea clavata is the source of this 229-nucleotide non-coding RNA. The record is from the annotation of a GenBank genome assembly. NCBI's taxonomy places the organism in Eukaryota, Metazoa, Cnidaria, Anthozoa, Malacalcyonacea, Plexauridae.
CGAAGACGUUGAAAAUCAAAACAAAAUUUGCUUCGAAGAAAUUCAAUUUUUUCCCAUUGUUUCUCAAACUAAUGUUUAUGGCUUAACUACAUUUAAGGACAGAAGCAAUGGAUGUAAUAAAGUGUUGUUAGCUUGCCUUAAAGGAAAUAUAUUGAGCAUAUGUUCUCCCGAGAGUGCAAGACCUUGUCAUUUAUCAUCUGCGAAUGUACCUCUCAAAAAUUUACAAGGU